RNAcentral lists this ribosomal RNA (253 nucleotides) under uncultured bacterium. Its description in RNAcentral is "partial 16S ribosomal RNA". It matches the Rfam family "Bacterial small subunit ribosomal RNA", at positions 524 to 776 of the family's 1533-position model. The record is from RNAcentral.
UACGUAGGGGGCGAGCGUUGUCCGGAUUUAUUGGGCGUAAAGAGCUCGUAGGCGGCUCGUCGCGUCGGCUGUGAAAACCUGGGGCUCAACCCCGGGCCUGCAGCCGAUACGGGCGAGCUAGAAUUCGGUAGGGGAGACUGGAAUUCCUGGUGUAGCGGUGAAAUGCGCAGAUAUCAGGAGGAACACCGGUGGCGAAGGCGGGUCUCUGGGCCGAUAUUGACGCUGAGGAGCGAAAGCGUGGGGAGCGAACAGG